RNAcentral lists this ribosomal RNA (1367 nucleotides) under Xylosandrus crassiusculus. RNAcentral describes it as "16S ribosomal RNA". The stretch from base 874 to 1233 matches the Rfam family "Archaeal large subunit ribosomal RNA", at positions 2151 to 2715 of the family's 2987-position model. Lineage: Eukaryota; Metazoa; Arthropoda; Insecta; Coleoptera; Curculionidae. The record is from RNAcentral.
UUAAUAGAUGUAGUUUGAAAAAGUAAAUAUCUAUUAAUUUAUCGGGUAAGUUACGUAAAGAAAGUAAUUUUUGUUUUUAGUAGAUUUAUAGAAAAAAUAAUAUUAGAUAUAGAGUAUUAGUAUUGUGAAAGAAAUUUUAUUUUGUAUUAAAAGAAAAAUUUAUGUUUUGUACCUUGUGUAUCAGGGUCUAUUAAAAAUAGAUUGAAAUUUCAAAUUUCUCGAAUUUAGAAGAGCUAUUUAAGUUAUGUUUUUAUUGUAGCAACAAUAUUAUUAAUAAUUAAAUUGAAGUGAAAUGCUAUUCGAUUCUAAAUAUAUCUAGUUUUUUAAGAAAAAAAUUUAAUUUUUUAUUAUUUAAAUAUCUUUUUUAUUAUAUAGUGAGAUGUUUAAUAAGAGUGAUUACCUAGGGGUUGAGCUUUAGGUAAAAUUUAUAUAAAUAUAGUUUUAUAAUGUCAAAUAAAUGAAUAGGAUUUGAAGUUUCUGUUUAAGGGAGUUAUUUCUUGGUUGUUUGUUGGUAAGAUUUAUUAAAUUUAUUUAUGUUUUUUAUUAAAAUUUAUAUUAUAAUUUUUCUUGUUUAGAAAAAAUGAUAGAAUUAGUAUAACUAGAUUUAUUAAUUUACUUUAAGUAAAGGUUUAAUAAAGGAAUUCGGCAAAUAUUUUUCUCACCUGUUUAUUAAAAACAUGGCUUUUUGAUUAUAAUUUAAGGUCUAGCCUGCCCAAUGAUUUUUUAAAUGGCCGCGGUAUACUGACCGUGCAAAGGUAGCAUAAUCAUUAGUUUCUUAAUUGGAAGCUUGUAUGAAAGGUUGGAUGAGGAAAAAACUGUCUCUGUUAAAAUUUAUUAGAAUUUUAUUAUUUUGUUAAAAGGCAUAAAUAUUUAUAAAAGACGAGAAGACCCUAUAGAGUUUUAUAAUUUGAUUAGAAAGAGCAAUAAGAAUAUUUUUUUUUAUUUGAUUAAUUUAUUUGGUUGGGGUGAUUGAAAAAUUUAAUAAACUUUUUUUUGGUGAUUUUACUGAUAUGUAAAUAUUUGAUCCUUUGUAAAGAUUAUAAGAAAAAAUUACCUUAGGGAUAACAGCGUUAUUUUCUUUGAGAGUUCAUAUCGAAAAGAGAGUUUGCGACCUCGAUGUUGGAUUAAAAUUAAGGUUUGGUGGAGGAGCUAAACUAUUAGGUCUGUUCGACCUUUAAAAUUUUACAUGAUCUGAGUUUAGACCGGCGUGAGCCAGGUUGGUUUCUAUCUUUAUGAUUAUAAAAUUUUUUAGUACGAAAGGACCAAAAAUUUACUAAAUUAGUUUGAAUUAGAAUUCUAUUAUUGCUUUGGCAGAAUAGUGUGAUAGAUUUAGAAUCUUUUUAUGUAGUUUUAUAGAACUAUAAGUA